UCCCAGACUCCUACGGGAGGCAGCAGUGGGGAAUAUUGGGCAAUGGGCGCAAGCCUGACCCAGCAACGCCGCGUGAAGGAAGAAGGCUUUCGGGUUGUAAACUUCUUUUCUCAGGGACGAAGCAAGUGACGGUACCUGAGGAAUAAGCCACGGCUAACUACGUGCCAGCAGCCGCGGUAAUACAUAGGGGGCAAGCGUUAUCCGGAAUUAUUGGGUGUAAAGGGUGCGUAGACGGAGAAACAAGUUGGUUGUGAAAUCCCUCGGCUCAACCGAGGAACUGCAACCAAAACUAUUUCCCUUGAGUGUCGGAGAGGAAAGUGGAAUUCCUAGUGUAGCGGUGAAAUGCGUAGAUAUUAGGAGGAACACCAGUGGCGAAGGCGACUUUCUGGACGAUAACUGACGUUGAGGCACGAAAGUGUGGGGAGCAAACAGGAUUAGAUACCCCCGUAUUC
RNAcentral lists this ribosomal RNA (452 nucleotides) under uncultured bacterium. RNAcentral describes it as "bacterial SSU rRNA". It matches the Rfam family "Bacterial small subunit ribosomal RNA", at positions 329 to 795 of the family's 1533-position model. The record is from RNAcentral.